This 497-nucleotide ribosomal RNA is filed under the name uncultured bacterium. Its description in RNAcentral is "partial 16S ribosomal RNA". It matches the Rfam family "Bacterial small subunit ribosomal RNA", at positions 28 to 507 of the family's 1533-position model. The record is from RNAcentral.
GAUGAACGCUGGCGGCGUGCCUAAUACAUGCAAGUCGAGCGAACUGACGAGAAGCUUGCUUCUCUGAUGUUAGCGGCGGACGGGUGAGUAACACGUGGAUAACCUACCUAUAAGACUGGGAUAACUUCGGGAAACCGGAGCUAAUACCGGAUAAUAUUUUGAACCGCAUGGUUCAAAAGUGAAAGACGGUCUUGCUGUCACUUAUAGAUGGAUCCGCGCUGCAUUAGCUAGUUGGUAAGGUAACGGCUUACCAAGGCAACGAUGCAUAGCCGACCUGAGAGGGUGAUCGGCCACACUGGAACGGAGACACGGUCCAGACUCCUACGGGAGGCAGCAGUAGGGAAUCUUCCGCAAUGGGCGAAAGCCUGACGGAGCAACGCCGCGUGAGUGAUGAAGGUCUUCGGAUCGUAAAACUCUGUUAUUAGGGAAGAACAUAUGUGUAAGUAACUGUGCACAUCUUGACGGUACCUAAUCAGAAAGCCACGGCUAACUACGUG